GAGAAGGGCAAAACAUUGUUCUUUUUCAAACAAUUACAUUCUUUAGGGGUCAUAAAUUAAUUAGUAAACCAUUUCCAGUCACAGUGGACUCCGAUUACAAAGUUAUCGCCAUGCAAAAAUGUUCAGAAAUGUUUCUGGUUUUUUUGCAUUUUGUCACAUUACAACCACAAACUCCAAUGUAGCAAAAUGAUUGGUGGCUUUUAAAAUGUUUUACAAAUAAAAAUCUGAGUGUGGCACGGAUGUGUAUUCAGACCCCUUUACUCUGGUACCCUUAAAUAAAAUCCAUUGCAACCAACUGCUAUUAGAAAUCGCCCAAAUAGUAAUUAAGAGUCCACUUGUGUGUAAUUUAAUCUAAGUAUGUAUGCAGCUGUUCUGUAAAGGCCUGAGAGGCUCGUUGGAGAACACUAAUGAACAAACAGCAUCGUAAACCAAGGAACACAGCAGACAGGUCAGAGAGAAAGCUGUACAGAGGUUUAUAUAACAAUAUCCCACCUAACACCAGGACAGGUAAGGAGAGCAUUCAGAAGAGAAGCAGCCAAGAGGCCUGUGGUACCUCUGGAGGAGCUGCAGAGAUCCAUUCCACAGCUCAGGUGGAAGAAUCUGCUCACAGGUGAAAUAUUAGUCGCGCACGCCACACACCAGCGGUUUAUGGUAGAGUGGCUUAAAGAAAACAAUUGUUCAAACGAAGCCUGAAAUGUUCAGUUUUAAAGUUUGUUGGCAGAGAAAUACUAAAGUGUUUUCCACAUUUUUCAGAUUUUUAUUUGUAGAAAUGUGGAAAACCGUACAUCCUUUUCCACCCACUGCAGAAUUAUGCACUACUUUGUCUUGGUAUGUCCCAAUAAAUCCAGAUAAAAUGAUCCAGAUUAACCUUUGUGACUUUUUGUAACACAACAAUAUGUGGAAAGGUUCAAAGCGUACGAGGACCUUUGCAAGGUACAAAUAGAUGAUUUUCUGCUCAUACACAUUCCACCCUGGCUUCAUCUGGGUUACCAGCGACAACCUUUUUACUAUCAUGCAACAGGUUUUAUAGAUCCAAAGAGCAGUUCUUGGUUAAAUUGAACUGAAUGCAUAUAGGCCCACAUAGUUGGGUCCAGAGGUACUCUGGUGGGACACAUUUUGAAGUUACAAGUUAACAGAAACUUGUAGACUGAAUCUGAGCAUAUUUCUGAUGAUGCCAGGCUACAAAGCUUUAGUGGUGUUUGUUGUUUAGAGUUGUAAUUAUAGUUCAAGAAGACGUAUUAAGAAGAGCGAUGCGGAGUAGAUGCAGGUGGAGGGGUGUGUCUUCUCUCUUAUUCGUCCACCUCUCAGUCCACAAUAAGCUGAGACCACACUGCUUCUCAACAAGUGGCAGAAACAAUCUGGCAGAGUGGCUGAAGCCGGGCGCCACCUCGGGCCCGGCCCUCUACGGUCCGGUAAGGCCCCUCUGUGCUCUCCUGGCAUGCUGAUCAGAGGAUUAGGGCCCGCUGGCGACGUCAAGUCAAGAGCAUGCUGAAGAAAGAGAAAGGCAUGCAUGCAACAUGAGCUCCAUGCUGGUUUCACACGCACCCACAUCCACUUCAGAAUGGGAACAGACCUGGAGCAUGAGGACCACACACCUGCUGCACCAGACGCAGCUUUUUAGCAAAGUGUAAAAUACAUCUGCCUUGCAAUGUUUGCUAAGAGAAGCAUGAAAUAAUAUAUAUUUAUUACCAUUUAACCAGAUAAAAUGUUUAAAAAGCA
Long non-coding RNA from Girardinichthys multiradiatus, 1719 nucleotides. RefSeq lists it as uncharacterized. The transcript is spliced from 2 exons. NCBI's taxonomy places the organism in Eukaryota, Metazoa, Chordata, Actinopteri, Cyprinodontiformes, Goodeidae. The record is from RefSeq and is a predicted model, not a curated record.